Onychostoma macrolepis is the source of this 289-nucleotide long non-coding RNA. RefSeq lists it as uncharacterized. NCBI's taxonomy places the organism in Eukaryota, Metazoa, Chordata, Actinopteri, Cypriniformes, Cyprinidae. The record is from RefSeq and is a predicted model, not a curated record. The transcript is spliced from 3 exons.
UGCUGAGAAGUCUUCUGCUUCUUUUCAUUAUGUAUUCCGUUGUGAAUGCAGAAGAUGAAAAGUGCCCCAAUGGAUGGACAAAUUUUGGAGUCAAAUGCUACAAGUACUUCCCUCAUUCAGUUAACUGGAUCACUGCAGAGAGAUUCUGUCAAACCUAUGAUGCAAAUCUCAAAUAGAGUUUUGUAUUUGCAAAUCAGUUUGCGUUUGUUUGAAAGUCGAGUUUUUCUUUGCAAAGCAGAUUGUGUUUAUUUGCAAAACGCUGGAUUUGUCUGAUGAAUAUUGGCACAAA